RNAcentral lists this ribosomal RNA (614 nucleotides) under uncultured archaeon. RNAcentral's name for it is "bacterial SSU rRNA". It matches the Rfam family "Archaeal small subunit ribosomal RNA", at positions 204 to 822 of the family's 1478-position model. The record is from RNAcentral.
UGAGGAUGGGUCUGCGGCCGAUUAGGUUGUUGUUGGGGUAACGGCCCAACAAGCCAUUGAUCGGUACGGGUUGUGAGAGCAAGAGCCCGGAGAUGGAUUCUGAGACACGAAUCCAGGCCCUACGGGGCGCAGCAGGCGCGAAAACUUUACAAUGCGAGAAAUCGUGAUAAGGGAACCCCGAGUGCCCGUAAAUUCGGGCUGUCCGCCAGUGUAAAUAACUGGUGAAGAAAGGGCCGGGCAAGACCGGUGCCAGCCGCCGCGGUAAUACCGGCGGCUCGAGUGGUGGCCACUAUUACUGGGCUUAAAGCGUCCGUAGCUGGAUUGUUAAGUCUCUUGGGAAAUCCACCGGCUCAACCGAUGGGCGUUCAGGAGAAACUGGCAAUCUAGGGACCGGGAGAGGUGAGAGGUACUCCAGGGGUAGGAGUGAAAUCCUGUAAUCCUUGGGGGACCACCUGUGGCGAAGGCGUCUCACUAGAACGGCUCCGACAGUGAGGGACGAAAGCUGGGGGAGCAAACCGGAUUAGAUACCCGGGUAGUCCCAGCUGUAAACGAUGCGCGUUAGGUGUAUCGGUGACCACGAGUCAUCGAGGUGCCGAAGGGAAACCGUGAAACGU